This 1608-nucleotide long non-coding RNA is filed under the name Homo sapiens (human). Its description in RNAcentral is "HSALNT0335145". The record is from RNAcentral. Lineage: Eukaryota; Metazoa; Chordata; Mammalia; Primates; Hominidae.
CUCAAGGUGGUUGGCUAUACCAUUCACAGUAAUGAGGAAUGUAAGAAAUCUCAGGUUGGUGUGAGAUUAUUCCUGUUUUGACCUUAUUAAACCCAGGCUUGUGUGGAAUGAUUGCUGCUUGGGCCUUACUAACUUAGGUUAAUUCAUUAUUAACCUUCAUUUCUCAAGAGAUUAAUAAUGAAAAAUCUAGAGCUCAAGACAGAUGUCAAGGCACAAGAAAAGAUAGAGAAGUCAGUCAGUGUUAAGACAAUGGAAUAAUAAGGUACUUAAGAUUGUUCAGGCAGAAUGUGUAACUUAAAGGCACAGAACAUAAUCUCAAAGAACUCCCAACAUUAAGGAAUAUACAAAGGAGACUAAGGAACAGAUAAGGGGAAAAAAAUCAGGAGUCAUUCACAGAAGCCACAUGCUAAAGAUGAAGUGGGAAGGAAAAUGCCUAUCAAAUGGAGCAAAAAGAUCAAUAUAAGGGUAGAACACCAGAGAAUUUUUAUCUGGAGAAAUAAAUGGGAGACAAUUAAGUGGAAGAAAUAUGGGGAGGGACAGAUACAAGGAAGUAUGUGUGAAGUGGAAAUCAGGAGGUGAGAUGGAGGACAAGGAAGAAGCACAGUUAAAAGCAGUAAGUAAGAGAACCUCCCUAGACCCCUUGAAGCACUGCCCACAAACACAGAGCUUUCAAAUAGUGUUUUGGAGUCUACUCAUAUAUUGCCAAGACUAGCCAGAAAUAACAGGAAAUUCGCCUAUAUGAACAAGAGAAAAAACAAAUUACAAAUAGCAACAAAUAAACUUUGGUGUUAAUAGAGCAGUAAACAAAAGUAGUAAUAUAUAUUCAUAUAUAUAUAUCCUCAGAAAAAUAAGAUAUCUAUAAACUAAGUAGGAUAUUUUGGAAACAAAAUAAAAUGAAAGAAGUUCUAGAAAUUAGAAUAUUUUUAGAAAUGUGCUACAAAUUCAAUACAAGGAAGAUAAUGUUGCAAGAAAGUUAUGUAAAUGUUUUAAAUAAGGCAAUUAUUAAUUCCAGGAAAAAUAAAAUUAUGCAAAAGAAAAUCAUAUUACAUUUGCCCUAGGGUAUAAAAUAUUUAUACAGUCAUACUUAAAUAACAGCUAAUGCAUUUACUAAAUAUUAUGAUAUAACUACAUAAUAGAAGGCAAAGUAUGUGUGUUAGAGAGCUAAAUCAUGUAACAUCAUGUAACAAUAAUGUCUAAAAUUGUUAUAUCAAGCAACAGAAUAGCCAUACUAUUUAGAUACACUAAGGUAAAAGAAGAAACAACUUUUGGAGUCACAGUGAUUGCCUCUGGGAGGGAAGGAAAGUUCAGGCAGGGACUACUAUUUUUUAUCAUAAAGCCUUUAGAACUUACUAUUUUAUUUUUUAAAACUGUGUACAUGUUACUUUGAUAAAUUUUAUAGAUAUACAAAAGGAAAUAAGGCCACCACGGUCUGAUUUGUUUUUAGACAAGAUAUUUAUUUUGAAGUUCCAAAUGACAUUAGCAGAAUUGUGAUUUUUAUGUUUACUGAAUGGUGCAUGGGAUAAAAAGGGGUUCUAAAACACUUUACUAGAUCAUCCAAACCCUACAAUAGACACUUAUGCAUCAAAAUUCUUGUAAAAGGACCACUUC